RNAcentral lists this ribosomal RNA (124 nucleotides) under Neogale vison (American mink). The record is from RNAcentral. Lineage: Eukaryota; Metazoa; Chordata; Mammalia; Carnivora; Mustelidae.
GUCUACGGCCAUACCACCCUGAACGCGCCCGAUCUCGUCUGAUCUCGGAAGCUAAGCAGGGUCGGGCCUGGUUAGUACUUGGAUGGGAGAACCCCCGACAAGGCCUGCAGGGAGAGUGAGGACC